This 82-nucleotide transfer RNA is filed under the name Rasamsonia emersonii. RNAcentral describes it as "tRNA-Ser". It matches the Rfam family "tRNA". Rfam says of the family: Transfer RNA (tRNA) molecules are approximately 80 nucleotides in length. Their secondary structure includes four short double-helical elements and three loops (D, anti-codon, and T loops). Further hydrogen bonds mediate the characteristic L-shaped molecular structure. tRNAs have two regions of fundamental functional importance: the anti-codon, which is responsible for specific mRNA codon recognition, and the 3' end, to which the tRNAs corresponding amino acid is attached (by aminoacyl-tRNA synthetases). tRNAs cope with the degeneracy of the genetic code in two manners: having more than one tRNA (with a specific anti-codon) for a particular amino acid; and 'wobble' base-pairing, i.e. permitting non-standard base-pairing at the 3rd anti-codon position. Lineage: Eukaryota; Fungi; Ascomycota; Eurotiomycetes; Eurotiales; Trichocomaceae. RNAcentral also lists the same sequence under 1 other name. The record is from RNAcentral.
GGCAGUGUGGCCGAGUGGUCUAAGGCGUCAGACUUGAAAUCUGAUCCCUGCGGGGUCGCCGGUUCGAAUCCGGUCGCUGUCG